UUGAAAGGGAAACGAUUGAAGUCGGCCGGGCCACGAGGAUCAACUUUUCGAGGGGGACUUCCCGGUCCGUGUGGGUGCAAAGGCCUCGGUGGUUGUGUUUUGGGUUUUGGGGGGACUUUUUCGGAUGGGAGGUACCUCAGUUCCAGGCCAUAAAAUGGUCGGAGGAGUCGUCGAUCUCGGAUUGAGUGGUAUGCCUUUGGAGAUGGGGGGGUAAACUGAGGAUGCAACGAAACCCUUUGGGCUAUCCGCUGGGCUCUGAAGGGGUGGGGUGCCGAAAGCUUGUUAUGGUAUUAAGACGAUGGAAAAGGUUGGAACGUGUAUCUUCGUUAAGGAUGUUGACGUA
This 343-nucleotide ribosomal RNA is filed under the name uncultured Glomeromycotina. RNAcentral describes it as "partial large subunit ribosomal RNA". The record is from RNAcentral. Lineage: Eukaryota; Fungi; Glomeromycota.